AGUGAACGCUGGCGGCGUGCUUAACACAUGCAAGUCGAACGAGAACGGAUUAUAGCUUGCUAUAAUUGUCAGCUAAGUGGCGCACGGGUGAGUAAUGUAUAGGUAAUAUGCCUCUUACUAAGGGAUAACAAAUGGAAACGUUUGCUAAUACCUUAUACUCCUUAUUAACAGAAGUUAAUAAGGGAAAGAUUUAUUGGUAAGAGAUUAGCCUGUAUUGUAUCAGUUAGUUGGUGGGGUAAUGGCUUACAAAGACUAUGACACAUAACUGGUUUGAGAGGAUGAUCAGUCACACCGGAACUAGGACACGGUCCAGAAUCCUACGGGAGGCAGCAGUGGGGAAUAUUGCACAAUGGACGAAAGUCUGAUGCAGCAACGCCGCGUGGAGGAUGACACAUUUCGGUGCGUAAACUCCUUUUAUAUGAGAAGAUAAUGACGGUAUUAUAUGAAUAAGCACCGGCUAACUCCGUGCCAGCCGCCGCAGUAA
This 484-nucleotide ribosomal RNA is filed under the name uncultured bacterium. RNAcentral describes it as "partial 16S ribosomal RNA". It matches the Rfam family "Bacterial small subunit ribosomal RNA", at positions 29 to 523 of the family's 1533-position model. The record is from RNAcentral.